UCACCAUCAGAUUUUUGGAUACA
This 23-nucleotide non-coding RNA is filed under the name Arabidopsis thaliana (thale cress). The record is from RNAcentral. Lineage: Eukaryota; Viridiplantae; Streptophyta; Magnoliopsida; Brassicales; Brassicaceae.